Molecule: ribosomal RNA, 2925 nt
Filed under: Escherichia coli
Lineage: Bacteria; Pseudomonadati; Pseudomonadota; Gammaproteobacteria; Enterobacterales; Enterobacteriaceae
Description: 23S ribosomal RNA
Rfam family: Bacterial large subunit ribosomal RNA
Source: RNAcentral
GGGUUGUGAGGUUAAGCGACUAAGCGUACACGGUGGAUGCCCUGGCAGUCAGAGGCGAUGAAGGACGUGCUAAUCUGCGAUAAGCGUCGGUAAGGUGAUAUGAACCGUUAUAACCGGCGAUUUCCGAAUGGGGAAACCCAGUGUGAUUCGUCACACUAUCAUUAACUGAAUCCAUAGGUUAAUGAGGCGAACCGGGGGAACUGAAACAUCUAAGUACCCCGAGGAAAAGAAAUCAACCGAGAUUCCCCCAGUAGCGGCGAGCGAACGGGGAGCAGCCCAGAGCCUGAAUCAGUGUGUGUGUUAGUGGAAGCGUCUGGAAAGGCGCGCGAUACAGGGUGACAGCCCCGUACACAAAAAUGCACAUGCUGUGAGCUCGAUGAGUAGGGCGGGACACGUGGUAUCCUGUCUGAAUAUGGGGGGACCAUCCUCCAAGGCUAAAUACUCCUGACUGACCGAUAGUGAACCAGUACCGUGAGGGAAAGGCGAAAAGAACCCCGGCGAGGGGAGUGAAAAAGAACCUGAAACCGUGUACGUACAAGCAGUGGGAGCACGCUUAGGCGUGUGACUGCGUACCUUUUGUAUAAUGGGUCAGCGACUUAUAUUCUGUAGCAAGGUUAACCGAAUAGGGGAGCCGAAGGGAAACCGAGUCUUAACUGGGCGUUAAGUUGCAGGGUAUAGACCCGAAACCCGGUGAUCUAGCCAUGGGCAGGUUGAAGGUUGGGUAACACUAACUGGAGGACCGAACCGACUAAUGUUGAAAAAUUAGCGGAUGACUUGUGGCUGGGGGUGAAAGGCCAAUCAAACCGGGAGAUAGCUGGUUCUCCCCGAAAGCUAUUUAGGUAGCGCCUCGUGAAUUCAUCUCCGGGGGUAGAGCACUGUUUCGGCAAGGGGGUCAUCCCGACUUACCAACCCGAUGCAAACUGCGAAUACCGGAGAAUGUUAUCACGGGAGACACACGGCGGGUGCUAACGUCCGUCGUGAAGAGGGAAACAACCCAGACCGCCAGCUAAGGUCCCAAAGUCAUGGUUAAGUGGGAAACGAUGUGGGAAGGCCCAGACAGCCAGGAUGUUGGCUUAGAAGCAGCCAUCAUUUAAAGAAAGCGUAAUAGCUCACUGGUCGAGUCGGCCUGCGCGGAAGAUGUAACGGGGCUAAACCAUGCACCGAAGCUGCGGCAGCGACGCUUAUGCGUUGUUGGGUAGGGGAGCGUUCUGUAAGCCUGUGAAGGUGUACUGUGAGGUAUGCUGGAGGUAUCAGAAGUGCGAAUGCUGACAUAAGUAACGAUAAAGCGGGUGAAAAGCCCGCUCGCCGGAAGACCAAGGGUUCCUGUCCAACGUUAAUCGGGGCAGGGUGAGUCGACCCCUAAGGCGAGGCCGAAAGGCGUAGUCGAUGGGAAACAGGUUAAUAUUCCUGUACUUGGUGUUACUGCGAAGGGGGGACGGAGAAGGCUAUGUUGGCCGGGCGACGGUUGUCCCGGUUUAAGCGUGUAGGCUGGUUUUCCAGGCAAAUCCGGAAAAUCAAGGCUGAGGCGUGAUGACGAGGCACUACGGUGCUGAAGCAACAAAUGCCCUGCUUCCAGGAAAAGCCUCUAAGCAUCAGGUAACAUCAAAUCGUACCCCAAACCGACACAGGUGGUCAGGUAGAGAAUACCAAGGCGCUUGAGAGAACUCGGGUGAAGGAACUAGGCAAAAUGGUGCCGUAACUUCGGGAGAAGGCACGCUGAUAUGUAGGUGAAGUCCCUCGCGGAUGGAGCUGAAAUCAGUCGAAGAUACCAGCUGGCUGCAACUGUUUAUUAAAAACACAGCACUGUGCAAACACGAAAGUGGACGUAUACGGUGUGACGCCUGCCCGGUGCCGGAAGGUUAAUUGAUGGGGUCAGCGCAAGCGAAGCUCUUGAUCGAAGCCCCGGUAAACGGCGGCCGUAACUAUAACGGUCCUAAGGUAGCGAAAUUCCUUGUCGGGUAAGUUCCGACCUGCACGAAUGGCGUAAUGAUGGCCAGGCUGUCUCCACCCGAGACUCAGUGAAAUUGAACUCGCUGUGAAGAUGCAGUGUACCCGCGGCAAGACGGAAAGACCCCGUGAACCUUUACUAUAGCUUGACACUGAACAUUGAGCCUUGAUGUGUAGGAUAGGUGGGAGGCUUUGAAGUGUGGACGCCAGUCUGCAUGGAGCCGACCUUGAAAUACCACCCUUUAAUGUUUGAUGUUCUAACGUGGACCCGUAAUCCGGGUUGCGGACAGUGUCUGGUGGGUAGUUUGACUGGGGCGGUCUCCUCCUAAAGAGUAACGGAGGAGCACGAAGGUUGGCUAAUCCUGGUCGGACAUCAGGAGGUUAGUGCAAUGGCAUAAGCCAGCUUGACUGCGAGCGUGACGGCGCGAGCAGGUGCGAAAGCAGGUCAUAGUGAUCCGGUGGUUCUGAAUGGAAGGGCCAUCGCUCAACGGAUAAAAGGUACUCCGGGGAUAACAGGCUGAUACCGCCCAAGAGUUCAUAUCGACGGCGGUGUUUGGCACCUCGAUGUCGGCUCAUCACAUCCUGGGGCUGAAGUAGGUCCCAAGGGUAUGGCUGUUCGCCAUUUAAAGUGGUACGCGAGCUGGGUUUAGAACGUCGUGAGACAGUUCGGUCCCUAUCUGCCGUGGGCGCUGGAGAACUGAGGGGGGCUGCUCCUAGUACGAGAGGACCGGAGUGGACGCAUCACUGGUGUUCGGGUUGUCAUGCCAAUGGCACUGCCCGGUAGCUAAAUGCGGAAGAGAUAAGUGCUGAAAGCAUCUAAGCACGAAACUUGCCCCGAGAUGAGUUCUCCCUGACCCUUUAAGGGUCCUGAAGGAACGUUGAAGACGACGACGUUGAUAGGCCGGGUGUGUAAGCGCAGCGAUGCGUUGAGCUAACCGGUACUAAUGAACCGUGAGGCUUAACCUUACAACGCCGAAG